This 253-nucleotide ribosomal RNA is filed under the name uncultured bacterium. RNAcentral's name for it is "partial 16S ribosomal RNA". It matches the Rfam family "Bacterial small subunit ribosomal RNA", at positions 524 to 776 of the family's 1533-position model. The record is from RNAcentral.
UACGUAGGGACCAAGCGUUGUUCGGAUUUACUGGACGUAAAGGGCGCGUAGGCGGCAAUUCAAGUCAGUUGUGAAAUCUCCGAGCUUAACUCGGAACGGUCAACUGAUACUGCUUUGCUAGAGUGCAGAAAGGGCAACCGGAAUUCUUGGUGUAGCGGUGAAAUGCGUAGAUAUCAAGAGGAACACCUGAGGCGAAGGCGGGUUGCUAGGCUGACACUGACGCUGAAGCGCGAAAGCUAGGGUAGCAAACGGG